GACGAACGCUGGCGGCGUGCUUAACACAUGCAAGUCGAACGGAAAGGCCUGCUUUCCCUUGUGGAUUGCGGGUACUCGAGUGGCGAACGGGUGAGUAACACGUGAGUGAUCUGCCCCCAACUUGGGUAUAAGCCUGGGAAACUGGGUCUAAUUCCCGAUAGGACUGCAGGGUGGUGCCUGUGGUGGAAAACGAUUUUCUAGUGGUUGGGGGUGAGCUCGCGGCCUAUCAGCUUGUUGGUGGGGUAAUGGCCUACCAAGGCGGCGACGGGUAGCCGGCCUGGGAGGGUGGACGGCCACAUUGGGACGGAGAUACGGCCCAGACUCCUACGGGAGGCAGCAGUGGGGAAUAUUGCACAAUGGGCGGAAGCCUGAUGCAGCGACGCCGCGUGGGGGAUGACGGCCUUCGGGUUGUAAACUCCUUUCGACCGCGAGGAAGCCACCUGGUUGGAAGGGUGGUGACGGUAGUGGUAGAAGAAGCACCGGCUAACUACGUG
Molecule: ribosomal RNA, 494 nt
Filed under: uncultured bacterium
Lineage: Bacteria
Description: partial 16S ribosomal RNA
Rfam family: Bacterial small subunit ribosomal RNA
Source: RNAcentral